Molecule: long non-coding RNA, 1612 nt
Organism: Carassius gibelio (silver crucian carp)
Lineage: Eukaryota; Metazoa; Chordata; Actinopteri; Cypriniformes; Cyprinidae
Exons: 3
Source: RefSeq, a predicted model, not a curated record
UACAGCUAACCAAAGGACAAAAUUCAACAUUUUUUUAAUAAUUAUUGAUCUAGAGAGUCCACAGAAUAUUACUGCAGUGGUUUGGUUCCGAUCGGACAAAAAACCUAGGACUAGUUCGCAAAAGUAGGUUUUUAACAUAUUUGUGAAUAACAAUUGAACGAUUUGAUUGACAGCAAUGGUUCUUGAGGCAAAGUUGUGCAUUACGAGGAGAUCUAUCAAAUGAUAUGCAUAUUGUGUUGAUAUGUGAAACACCACGUGAUUACAGAGCCAUAAAACUCGUUAGCGCCAACUAGUGGCCGAUUUCUUUCAAAAUUCUUACAGACCUUAAGGUUCAUGAGUCGAACGUACCCAGCGAGUUUCGUUCCGAUCAACAUCCGUUAACCCUUUCAAAUAGGUGCUUAAAAUUGUUUGGCCAAUGGCGGCCAUGUUUUUUUUAGAUAUGCAAAUGUCCUCAUAUGUACUUGUGCCCCUUCAGACCGAGACAUUGCAUACCAAUUUUCAAGUCGAUCGAGGCAACAGUUGCCUAGUUAUAGCCAUUUAUGUGUUUUUUCUAUCUUAUAGCGCCCCCAAGUGGCAGAGAUGCGCAAUAUUUUUGAUUUGACCAAAGAUUGAGCUUAUACAUAUGUAUACCGAGUUUGGUGAAGAUAUCUCAUUCCGUUCAAGAGUUAUAGUUAAAAUAGCAUUUGGCUAACGUUAGCAUAGACACUUUUUGGUGUACUGUUUCGCGUAAGAAUUGAAAUUUCAACUUUUUUUUGAUAAUUAUUGAUAUUGAGUGUCCAGGGAAUAUUUAUGAAGUGGUUUGGUUCUGAUUGGUUGAAAAUCCUAGGACUAGUUCGCAAAAGUAGGUUUCGGAUAUAGCUCGAUUUUGCGAGAAAACGGUGCGUCGUAGACCCCAAAAAGGCGCCGUGCACUUUUGUUCGGGCUAACCCAAGGAUUGCAACAAUGCCAUGUUUUUGAGUCUAUGGCUAACGGUUUACACUUUACGGCCAAAAAUGUCCAAAAUUUUUGUUUUUUGCGCUGUAGCGCCCCCGUUAGGCCGAUUGGGCUGAGAGUUUGAUAAGUUCUCCCCAAAUUGAGCUCUACGAUCUGUCCAAAUUUCAGCUCUCUAGGCCUUACGGUUUGGGCUGCACGUUCAGUUCUAGGGCGGAAGAAUAAUAAUAAUAAUUAAAGCUGCAAGCAGCAUUUUACCGGGGUUCAAGCACAUUAAGGCCUCUGAGGUGGUCAGAGCCAACCUGGAUGCUUGGAUGACAUUUAAACACAUCCAAAAUGGAGAACAGGCUAACAGACAGACACACACACUGACAGCAAAUGAUUAGACUAAUAUAUGUAUACUCUAUAAGCAUAUGCACACACAAACACACACACAAAGACACACAUAUACAUGGACACACAUUUUGUUGCAGAUAUAGGUAUUUGACAUAAGUGAUAGGUGACAAUAAACUUAUUGCAAGUCUUCUCUUUUUUAGAGUUUAGAUGUCAUUUUCAGGUUAAACUGUAAUCAUAAUGUGGCAAAAUUGUAAAAACUGAUACAUCUGUAUGAACAAAAUGGAAAACAUUGACUCAAUGAGAUUUAAAAUGUUAUAAAAGUUCAUUUUUUAAUGUGUUGGCAUGA